CGGCAAGAGCUCAAAUUUGAAAUCUGGCCUUCUGGUCCGAAUUGUAAUUUGUAGAGGAUGCUUCGAAUGUAGUCUGGUCUAAGUUCCUUGGAACAGGAUGUCAUAGAGGGUGAGAAUCCCGUCUGCGACUAGGUGUCUAUGUUCAUGUGAAGCUCCUUC
Molecule: ribosomal RNA, 159 nt
Filed under: Helotiaceae sp.
Lineage: Eukaryota; Fungi; Ascomycota; Leotiomycetes; Helotiales; Helotiaceae
Description: partial large subunit ribosomal RNA
Rfam family: Eukaryotic large subunit ribosomal RNA
Source: RNAcentral